AGCGAACGCUGGCGGCAGGCCUAACACAUGCAAGUCGAGCGGCCGUAGCAAUACGGCAGCGGCAGACGGGAGAGUAACACGUGGGAACGCGCCCUUCGGUUCGGAAUAACUCAGGGAAACUUGGGCUAAUACCGGAUACGCCCUUACGGGGAAAGAUUUAUUGCCGAAGGAACGGCCCGCGUCCGAUUAGCUUGUUGGUGAGGUAACGGCUCACCAAGGCGACGAUCGGUAGCUGGUCUGAGAGGAUGACCAGCCUCACUGGGACUGAGACACGGCCCAGACUCCUACGGGAGGCAGCAGUGGGGAAUAUUGGACAAUGGGCGCAAGCCUGAUCCAGCCAUGCCGCGUGGGUGAUGAAGGCCCUAGGGUUGUAAAGCCCUUUCAGCGGGGAAGAUAAUGACGGUACCCGCAGAAGAAGCCCCGGCUAACUUCGUG
This 435-nucleotide ribosomal RNA is filed under the name uncultured Alphaproteobacteria bacterium. RNAcentral describes it as "bacterial SSU rRNA". It matches the Rfam family "Bacterial small subunit ribosomal RNA", at positions 29 to 507 of the family's 1533-position model. The record is from RNAcentral. Lineage: Bacteria; Pseudomonadati; Pseudomonadota; Alphaproteobacteria.